This is a long non-coding RNA of Nicotiana attenuata, 563 nucleotides long. RefSeq lists it as uncharacterized. The record is from RefSeq and is a predicted model, not a curated record. The transcript has 2 exons. NCBI's taxonomy places the organism in Eukaryota, Viridiplantae, Streptophyta, Magnoliopsida, Solanales, Solanaceae.
UCCUCGCUCAAUUAAUUUUGCCCAUAUUUUCUCUUCUUUUUCCUUUAUCUGUUUUCUUUUCUGCGCUUCUUUUAGGUUCUCCUCUUCCUAAUUUCGCAAUUCAAUGGCUAUUGUGGGUUAAAUCUGCGAGUGUGAUUAGAAGCAGAUAGAGACAAAGAAAUAGAUAAUGGUAGUAACUUCAUUUUCUUUAGACUCUUUGAAGAUUCUCUUUGAAGCAGCAUGUGUUACUUACUGCUUAGAAUUCUUCAUGGGUUGAGGCUUGGAAUUUUACAUAAAGUUGUGAUGCAUCCGGAAUGCAAGUUGUUGCUGGUGGAUUCUUGGGAUUGGCUAUAGCAGCAAUUGCAUGCAAUCACGGGCUCCAAAAUGUCAAGCAUGAAGGUAGCGAAGCUGUUGCAUUCCGUUGUUGCGACCAUACGAAGAAUCAAAAUAAUAGAUAGUUAUCACCAAAUUUGUUUAUUACUUUAUCUCAUUUCUGAAUUCCCCUUCAAGACACUAUAUACAGUUAUGUGAACCAAUAUUGACGAAAGUCCCUUCCUCUAAUACAGGUAAUCUGAUCUUCAUUA